AACGUGGGAGGCAAACGUUAUCCGGAUUUACUGGGCGUAAAGGGAGUGUAGGCGGUUCUUUAAGUCAGGUGUGAAAUCUCUUGACUCAAUCAAGAGAAGUCAUCUGAAACUGAGGGACUUGAGGGCGGCAGAAGGAAACGGAAUUUCCGGUGUAGCGGUGAAAUGCGUUGAUACCGGGAAGAACACCAGUGGCGAAGGCGGUUUCCUAGGCUGUUUCUGACGCUGAGGCUCGAAAGCGUGGGGAGCGAAGCGGAUUAGAUACCCCCGUA
This 269-nucleotide ribosomal RNA is filed under the name uncultured prokaryote. Its description in RNAcentral is "partial 16S ribosomal RNA". It matches the Rfam family "Bacterial small subunit ribosomal RNA", at positions 524 to 792 of the family's 1533-position model. The record is from RNAcentral.